Small nuclear RNA from Oryctolagus cuniculus (rabbit), 104 nucleotides. NCBI's taxonomy places the organism in Eukaryota, Metazoa, Chordata, Mammalia, Lagomorpha, Leporidae. The record is from Ensembl.
GUGCUCACUUUAGCAGCAUGUAUACUAAAACUGGAAUGAUGCAGAGAUUAGCAUGGCCUCUACACAAGGAUCACACACAAAUACCUGAAAUGGUCCAUAUUUUU